Molecule: ribosomal RNA, 253 nt
Filed under: uncultured bacterium
Lineage: Bacteria
Description: partial 16S ribosomal RNA
Rfam family: Bacterial small subunit ribosomal RNA
Source: RNAcentral
UACGAAGGGGGCUAGCGUUGUUCGGAUUUACUGGGCGUAAAGCGCACGUAGGCGGAUCGUUAAGUCGGGGGUGAAAUCCUGGAGCUCAACUCCAGAACUGCCUUCGAUACUGGCGAUCUUGAGUCCGGAAGAGGUGAGUGGAACUCCUAGUGUAGAGGUGAAAUUCGUAGAUAUUCGGAAGAACACCAGUGGCGAAGGCGGCUCACUGGUCCGGUACUGACGCUGAGGUGCGAAAGCGUGGGGAGCAAACAGG